Long non-coding RNA from Brassica napus (rape), 2109 nucleotides. RefSeq lists it as uncharacterized. NCBI's taxonomy places the organism in Eukaryota, Viridiplantae, Streptophyta, Magnoliopsida, Brassicales, Brassicaceae. The transcript has 3 exons. The record is from RefSeq and is a predicted model, not a curated record.
UAUGGAACAAAAACAUGUUAAAACAUGUUUUAAUGUAUUAUCUUAGAACAUUUCGUUAUUGAUGUAGUUAUAUGAAACGCAUCUAUGCUCGGGCUGUGUCGUAUUUGUCUGCACUGUCGAAAGCUGAUGUGCAUGUACGUAGACCAUGAAUCAACCCUUAGCAGAACGUUUUUUGUAUUGAACAUAUAACAAUUGUAUUUUCUAAAAAAAAUAUUGAAACCGUUCAUUCGUAGACCAAACGCUGUAACACUAUAAAUAUAAAUGCAACAAUCGUACGUACAAUAACAUCAGUCUACGCCCCUAUAAAUACUAAAUAGUGUGUAAUGUCUCUAUCUCCUCUCUCUCUUUGUGUCUCUCUCUUGUGCAGAUGUUGGCAGAACCCAAUAGAAACAGAUGCUACUCCUUUAUUUACCGCACGUAGUUUAAUUUUAGCCACAGUUCAUUCUAUUUUGUCCUCUCAAGUUACUUUUCUCUCUCAUUUUAUCAUAUUGAUUUACUUACUUCCCGUUAAAACGCUUUGAUGAGACUUGGACUGUAACUGAAGUAUAAGUAUAUAUUUACAUUGUUCAAGGCAGUGAAUUUGUAGUGUAGAAGCCAGCCAGUGGGGAAGGGGGUGGGGGUCUUCUUGCCAGCUUUGAAGAAGUUGUUGACCUAAAUUGGGCCCAAUAUUAAAGAACAAUACAUAGACCAUCUCCAAUGGAGUAUCCAUGAGGAUUCUAUAUGAUGGUUCUAAGUAAAUAAAUGUUGAAAAUUAAAUCAAAAUGAGAAAAAAUAGAUAUAUAUGGUUCUAAAAAUGAAAGUUCUAAAAAUGAAAGUUUUAGAACCAAUUCUAAAUAAUAUGUGUCACUUUGUGAUAGGGUAGUAUUUAAAGGGGAAAAAAAUUAAAUCCAAUUGUUCUUUUUCUCUCUCUUUCGCGGAUUGAAAGCAACUCUUUUUUUUUUGUAGACGAAACAGAGAUCUUCUUUCACAAUUUGGCGACUCAGCUGUCAAUCCUCUCCAUCCUCUAUCUACUAUGCUUCUUUCAAUCAAGAUAACAUGAAAGAGUAAUCAAAACUUGACGAUGUAGGGAUCGCGACCGAGCAUGCGGAGGAUGGAGAUCUCGCAGAGAGUGGUGGGAGGAACGCCUUCUUCGUCUUCGUGGAGACGAGUCUUCUUCAAAGCGACGAUGAGACCCGUAGCUUUCUCUCUCGCUCUGUACACUUUGCCGUAAGUGCCUCCCCCCUACUUUCUCUAGCUUCUCGAAGACUUCCAUGGCCGACACUUUUCCGUAAGAUCGGUUUUAUAGAUAGAAACCGAUUUUGUAUAAAAGAAGACUCUGUUAUGAAAGAGGCAAGUUUUUAUCAUUUAAAAGAUCAAACUUUUUGUUGGCUAUGUUUAUUGUAUGGUGUUGUGAUUGAUUCUUUAUCAGGCUUGUUGUAUGAUUACUCCCCAUAUCGUCAAGUUUCAAGAAUCCAUGGUUUUGUGAUUGAUUUUUUAUGGUGUUGGUGUAUUCUGCCAUCAAGUUUCAAAACUUGAGCGUGCUCUUAAAUUUUUUGAGGUAACUUCUCCCUACCAUGUUUGGUUCGAGUUUGAGAAACUAUUCGGGCUUACAGUACCACUGCAAGAGGUAAGCUACUUUAGGAGAGGAUUAUGGUCAGAAUAAAAGGUAGUGAAUCACGACCAAGUAAUAUAUAGAAAGUUCUACUUGCAGAGAGUUCAUGGAAUCAAUCGGAGUACGCAUCAGAGCUAUGAUCAAUUCGCAAAUCACCUUCAAAGUUGGCCCAAAAUCAUUUAAAUCUGCAGAAACUGGAGAAACUGUUCUAUUGCUGCAUUGUUAGGACUCCGUUUGACAAGAUAAAUUAAUUUUUAUUGAGUUGAUAUUUGGUAUAGAUAAUUAUGAAAUAUCCGACUUCAUAAUCAACGGUGAGAUUUUGAAGUGGACGGUUGGAUUAGUAGUUAUUAAUGUCUUUCUGAAUCAGUUUGAUGCACUGUAAAACAGAGUGAUAUGUUUGAUGAAUUGUCUUGUUUGGUUGGAAAAUGAGCUCGGACAGAGUGAUAUGUUUGAUGUCUUGUUCAAUAAUUAUAAGUUUUUUUAUUAUAGAAUGAGAUGCAAGGAAUCUAUUAUUACAA